Molecule: long non-coding RNA, 1551 nt
Filed under: Gossypium barbadense (sea-island cotton)
Lineage: Eukaryota; Viridiplantae; Streptophyta; Magnoliopsida; Malvales; Malvaceae
Description: long non-coding RNA (GBAR_LNC011600)
Source: RNAcentral
UGAAAUCCAUGGAACGUAAAAUAAUAAUAUCAAUUUAAAAAAAAACGUAUGAGCUUAGAAAACAGCUGUUAAAAAAAAUGUUAUUUUUCCUCCGACUGUACGGACUAAGGAGGAAACGGAGUAAACAGAGAGCUUCGCCGGAAUCAUAAGGGGGAAAAUGGGGGUGAUUUUGAGCGCGUUUGAUGUAUGAGUAAGUGAUUUGAAUUUUAGACCUCAAUUUUUUUUUGAGUGAUUCAACAUGUUUUGUAAGUGAUUCAGAUUAAUUUGUUAAGUUGUGGUAAAAUUUGGAUUAACAUGAGAAAAAUCCAAUCUCCCUAGUGUUUGUUUUAGGCUCGUUUGUGCUUCACAUUAUGCGAUUAUAUCCUUAAUUAGGAGUUUGUGGAAAAGGAAUAGUGGAGAUGGAUUCAGAAAGUAAUUAAGUAAACGAGCUGAUUGGAUUCCAAUCAAUGGAAAAAAAAAAAAAACUGAAUAUGAUGAAAAUUGGAGAUAGAAAUAUUAGGGUUUUUUUUUUUUUUUAAUUUUGGGACUAAGAUAAGAGUGGCAAUUGAACUUCAAUUUUAGAUUAGGAUAGAUUAUUGAACAAUGAUUGCUAAAAAUGCUGUGAAAUAAAUCCAAGUGUAAAUGAGAUGAUUUGAUAUGCUAAGCACUAAAAUUAUUAAUUACAUUUAUAUCUGGACAGCGUUGUUAGAAUGCCUUGGGCUUUUGCUUGGUGAAAAAAGGAUAGAGAAGGGUAAGAACAGAAAAAGUGUUUAAUCCGAUGAAAGAAGUUAUGGGAUCUAACCAUUAGAUUCAAAGUUUUUGCAUCCAUACUCAGUUUCUAUCCUUCCUACCAAGCAAAGCUUUGAAGGUUGCAAUUGAGUCGUGUUAUUACUUACCAAGUGUUUAGAAUUCAGGAGGCAACACAAAUACCAAAAAAGAACUGAAUCAUUCUUACCUUUCUACUAUUGUGCUUGGAAUGGAAGAGCCUAUUCGAGUACUUUAUAUAAAAUAUUUGUUUGUUGAUUGGCUCGUGUGUGACUGCUGACUCCAAUAUUGAUGCAAAAACCUGGAUAAUUUAUUGCUUUGACAUAAAGAUUUCUGCCACUCAAGUUGAGGGAGGUGGGGACACAAACACUUUGCUAGUUUAUUCUUAAUGGUAUUAUGUUCUCCUAACCAUAUGCAUAAAUACCCGAUAACAUAUUUGAUUAAAGCUAAAAGCAUUUGUAGCGUUUUGCCUUUUAAAAAGUCUAAUGUAUGAGCACAAACUCUGUUGCUUUUCCUUCAUACAGACUUCUUAAUUGAAUCAAUGAAUCUUUUGUCUGCAAUGUCGUUGCUUGAGAUGUAAUCAAGAAAAUCUCUGAAACUGAACUCGUUGUAGGAGACAGGAUGUUGCUCAUCCACAAGCUCUGGUGCUGGUCCUAUUUUCUUGUUUAUAGGUAGACUGUGAAGACUAGCUAUGGACAACCGCUUGUUCUCCGCGCUUAGAGUCACUUGAUGAACAACACUCUUGUACUGUCCAUUGCUCAUCACUUCUAUUUGAUCUCCCAAUUGGACUAGUAAGGCGCCUUCAAC